GGGGUAGGUUGGGAUAAAUAAGGUCUUAAAAGGUAUGCUAUAAGUAAAAGUCUUUUUAUAAUCUCAAUAAACUAAAUCCCUUUUAAUCCAUAGCUAUCCAAAGGGAAGCAGCCAUAUUCUUACAUACUUACAUGGACCACCAUACCACAGCUUGCUUUCUCUGGCAUGGGAAAAAUAACUUUAAGCACCAAACUUUGAGUAUUCUUACUAUUCAAGUUUUAGACACAAUCACAUAAGCCAAUGGUGAAGCUAUGCUUUGCACUACUAAAGGAAUAUUAUCCUCAUUUUAGGACAUCCCUUUACACUUU
Molecule: long non-coding RNA, 308 nt
Filed under: Bos taurus (domestic cattle)
Lineage: Eukaryota; Metazoa; Chordata; Mammalia; Artiodactyla; Bovidae
Description: long non-coding RNA NONBTAT022101
Source: RNAcentral